RNAcentral lists this ribosomal RNA (497 nucleotides) under uncultured bacterium. Its description in RNAcentral is "partial 16S ribosomal RNA". It matches the Rfam family "Bacterial small subunit ribosomal RNA", at positions 28 to 507 of the family's 1533-position model. The record is from RNAcentral.
GAUGAACGCUGGCGGCGUGCCUAAUACAUGCAAGUCGAGCGAACAGACGAGGCGCUUGCUCCUCUGACGUUAGCGGCGGACGGGUGAGUAACACGUGGAUAACCUACCUAUAAGACUGGGAUAACUUCGGGACACCGGAGCUAAUACCGGAUAAUAUAUUGAACCGCAUGGUUCAAUAGUGAAAGACGGUUUUGCUGUCACUUAUAGAUGGAUCCGCGCCGCAUUAGCUAGUUGGUAAGGUAACGGCUUACCAAGGCAACGAUGCGUAGCCGACCUGAGAGAGGGAUCGGCGACACGGGAACGGAGACACGGUCCAGAGUCCUGCGGGAGGCAGCAGUAGCGAAUCGGCCGCAAUGGGCGAAAGCCUGACGGAGCAAGGCCGAGUGAGUGAUGAAGGUCUUCGGAGCGUGAAACUGGGUUACGGGGUGAGAACAAAUGUGUAAGGAACCGUGCACGGCGUGACGGUACCUGAUCAGAAAGCCCCGGCUAACUACGUG